AACGCGAAGAACCUUACCUGGGUUUGACAUGCGCAGGACGCACUCAGAGAUGGGUGUUCCCUUGUGGCCUGUGUGCAGGUGGUGCAUGGCUGUCGUCAGCUCGUGUCGUGAGAUGUUGGGUUAAGUCCCGCAACGAGCGCAACCCUUGUCUCAUGUUGCCAGCACGUGAUGGUGGGGACUCGUGAGAGACUGCCGGGGUCAACUCGGAGGAAGGUGGGGAUGACGUCAAGUCAUCAUGCCCCUUAUGUCCAGGGCUUCACACAUGCUACAAUGGCCGGUACAAAGGGCUGCGAUGCCGUGAGGCUUAGCGAAUCCUUUAAAGCCGGUCUCAGUUCGGAUCGGGGUCUGCAACUCGACCCCGUGAAGUCGGAGUCGCUAGUAAUCGCAGAUCAGCAACGCUGCGGUGAAUACGUUCCCGGGCCUUGUACACACCGUAGAGAC
This 441-nucleotide ribosomal RNA is filed under the name uncultured bacterium. RNAcentral's name for it is "bacterial SSU rRNA". It matches the Rfam family "Bacterial small subunit ribosomal RNA", at positions 958 to 1400 of the family's 1533-position model. The record is from RNAcentral.